This 406-nucleotide ribosomal RNA is filed under the name uncultured bacterium. RNAcentral describes it as "partial 16S ribosomal RNA". It matches the Rfam family "Bacterial small subunit ribosomal RNA", at positions 30 to 526 of the family's 1533-position model. The record is from RNAcentral.
AUCGAACGCUGGCGGCAGGCUUAACACAUGCAAGUCGAGCGAGCGGCGGACGGGUGAGUCAUGUCUGGGAAACUGCCUGCUGGAGGGGGAUAACUACUGGAACCGGUAGCUAAUACCGCUUACCAUCAGAUGUGCCCGGCUGGGAUAAGCUAGUAGGUGGGGUAAUGGCUCACCUAGGCGACGAUCCCUAGCUGGUCUGAGAGGAUGACCAGCCGCACUGGAACUGGGACACGGUCAAGACUCCUACGGGAGGCAGCAGGGGGGAAUAUUGCACAAUGGGCGCAAGCCUGAUGCAGCCAGGCCGCGUGUGUGAAGAAGGCCUUCGGGUGGUAAAGCACUUUCUGCGAUGAGGCGUUACUCGCAGAAGAAGCACCGGCUAACUCCGUGCCAGCAGCCGCGGUAAUUC